CCACCCCUUCCCAUCCCGAACAGGACCGUGAAACAACUUUGCGCCGAUGAUAGUGCUGCAACCAGUGUGAAAGUAGGUUAUCGUCAGGCU
This 90-nucleotide ribosomal RNA is filed under the name Janthinobacterium sp. HH104. Lineage: Bacteria; Pseudomonadati; Pseudomonadota; Betaproteobacteria; Burkholderiales; Oxalobacteraceae. The record is from RNAcentral.